RNAcentral lists this microRNA precursor (57 nucleotides) under Blattella germanica (German cockroach). RNAcentral describes it as "Bge-Novel-3_pre stem-loop". Lineage: Eukaryota; Metazoa; Arthropoda; Insecta; Blattodea; Blattellidae. The record is from RNAcentral.
AAGGAAAGCUUAGGCGUAUGUUAGUUCAUUUAAACCUACGCCUGAUGCUUUCCCAAU